Molecule: non-coding RNA, 574 nt
Organism: Drosophila melanogaster (fruit fly)
Lineage: Eukaryota; Metazoa; Arthropoda; Insecta; Diptera; Drosophilidae
Source: Ensembl
AUUUUUGAAAAGAGCAACAUGAGGCCGCCAAAUUCCGCUGCACAUUUUCCGCCGUAGAUCCAAGUACAGUUUCCAAAAAAUCGAGGGCGAUUAAUCAUCAGUAUAGCAAUGUUUGAGAACUCGACUGAUUUAUUUUCCCACCAAAAUACAAAAGCCACCCUGCCGUCGGACAGGAUUUACUGCGCAGCUGCAGGACAACCAACAGUCACGAAGAACCUCGUGCAGCUUCAAUAGCAACAGCCUGCUGCUGGGUGGCAUGGGGUGGGUUUAUUUGUAGGGCUUGUCCUUGAAGGCACCCGGUGUUGUUUGGCUGUUUGGUGCCCGGUAAAUGGUACCCGACACCAGGUUGCUGUCAAGCGACGCCUCUUCAGAGCCGGUGCUUUUGUCUCACUUGGCAACGUCGGGGUUGCAAAACUUUUCCCACCAUUUCGACCCUGAUUUCCACCCCACUCGAUCGGGGUGAGUGGAUAGUGCGCAGGUAUGCAACAGAGGACCAGCUGCCGGCAUGCAAACGAGUCCAACGAAGCUUUUGCCACUCUCAAAUUGGAUCUCACUCUGAUGGAAAAUUACCAAA